Long non-coding RNA from Mesocricetus auratus (golden hamster), 959 nucleotides. RefSeq lists it as uncharacterized. The transcript is spliced from 3 exons. Lineage: Eukaryota; Metazoa; Chordata; Mammalia; Rodentia; Cricetidae. The record is from RefSeq and is a predicted model, not a curated record.
UUACUUACAUUUUUUUUCAAAACUUCUUUGUCUUCCAAAGCAAGUUGGCUGCUAAUAUGGAAGUUGUACAAGUGAUGUGAUCAGAAAAUGCAGACCUGUGAUAGCUGACGACGACACUGUGAGGGACAGCCCACAGGGCAGAGCACCCAGUCACACAGCCAGGUCUUACAGUAUCAUCCUUGGGACCAAGAACCAUCAAGCAAAAUAACACUCAUUUCUACUGCUGAACAUGUGAUGUCAGCAUUUCUUGGACAUACAUGCUAAGAACCAUGAACAUUAAGUUAAGGGUAGAGUUCACACCGACUACAGGGCAGUCACAGAAGCUCCAUGGAAGGUGUGGUGUGGCUGUCUGGAUGAGAAAGCAGCUAGACCCUUGACCCAUCAUCCAUCACCCUGCCUUCCGGUCAACUUUUGAUAGUCACCAAGACCCUGGGCUCAGAAACUCACCAAGAGCCUGUGUCACAUCUGACGCACUUCCUGUAUCUCACCGGAUGACUUCUCCCUUUACAACCCAGCAGGGGCAGUACCUUCUUGUCCAGCUUCUUUAUGCUUUUCCCUCCAGUUGUUUACCUCAUAGGGUUUUACGCUUCCUGUCCCUCCAGUUCCGCUGAGAGACAGCAGGCCAGCAGACAGCCCACUUCUCUCUGUUGCCCCGCCCACUUCUCUCUGUCGCCCCGCCCACUUCUCUCCGCCGCCCCGCCCACUUCUCUUCGUCACCCCGCCCUCCAGAAGAGCACCCAGGUCCACGACAGAACUAAGUGUCAUGUGCUUCUUGGUUCCUCCUCCCUCUUCUCUUGAUGUUUGUCUUUGUCCCAGAUGUGACAGUUGCAUGAUAAAGCAGGGCAAUUCUACCAUUAAGCAGGCUUCUGGGAGGCAGGGGGUUUGGGGCUCUGGAGUUCUAAGCCCCAGCCCAAACUUAGCCAGGACUCUCAUUUUCAAAGGCAAUCUCAAGAUGAAUA